GAUGAACGCUGGCGGCGUGCCUAAUACAUGCAAGUCGAGCGAACAGACGAGGAGCUUGCUCCUCUGACGUUAGCGGCGGACGGGUGAGUAACACGUGGAUAACCUACCUAUAAGACUGGGAUAACUUCGGGAAACCGGAGCUAAUACCGGAUAAUAUAUUGAACCGCAUGGUUCAAUAGUGAAAAACGGUUUUGCUGUCACUUAUAGAUGGCUCCGCGCUGCAUUAGCUAGUUGGUAAGGUAACGGCUUACCAAGGCGACGAUGCGUAGCCGACCUGAGAGGGUGAUCGGCCACACUGGAACUGAGACACGGUCCAGACUCCUACGGGAGGCAGCAGUAGGGAAUCUUCCGCAAUGGGCGAAAGCCUGACGGAGCAACGCCGCGUGAGUGAUGAAGGUCUUCGGAUCGUAAAACUCUGUUAUUAGGGAAGAACAAAUGUGUAAGUAACUAUGCACGUCUUGACGGUACCUAAUCAGAAAGCCACGGCUAACUACGUG
This 497-nucleotide ribosomal RNA is filed under the name uncultured bacterium. RNAcentral's name for it is "partial 16S ribosomal RNA". It matches the Rfam family "Bacterial small subunit ribosomal RNA", at positions 28 to 507 of the family's 1533-position model. The record is from RNAcentral.